Nannospalax galili (Upper Galilee mountains blind mole rat) is the source of this 1342-nucleotide long non-coding RNA. RefSeq lists it as uncharacterized. The transcript has 3 exons. The record is from RefSeq and is a predicted model, not a curated record. NCBI's taxonomy places the organism in Eukaryota, Metazoa, Chordata, Mammalia, Rodentia, Spalacidae.
AGGAUCUUUUAGGUAAUGAAGUGGUUGCUAAAGAGACUUGAAACGGCACCAAAAGGAGCACUGAAAUGGCCUGCACCUCUGCCCACUACAAGCUCAAGUGAAGAACCAGAUGAUCUGGCAUGCAAUGCAAGGUAGAAGAAAGAAGAUUCAAAAAUAACUAAAAAGCAGCAGAAAGGCACCACAUCAGCCACAGCCAAACCGCUGCGCAUCCUGCCUGCCUGCACUGGACCCUGCUUGCUACCCCGCCCUCGCCAAGGCUUUCACUCUGUAGACCUGAAGCAGGGUUCUUCCGCCAAGAAUGAAUGAGCAUGCAACCAUGGGCAGGCAGUGCUGGGGACGCUGUGAGUCUGCCUGGAGAACCUGCCUGGAGCAUUCUCAACAACACACAGAAUCACAAAGAGGAAACAGCAAACAAGCACUAUGGCAUUUGGCUUCAUUGUUUCCUUCCAGUUUUGAUGCUGUCCUUUGCAACUGGGAUUGUAGAAGACGCACAUAUGUUUAUUAUAGAUGAGACCCCAGAGACCCUUUGGCUUAACUCUUGGUUUAACUUCUUGAAACUCCACUGGUAAAAUAGAGAACAGGAAAUAGAAAAAAAGAAACUGAUUUUCUGUGGCAAGAACAGAAGUGGUUCAUUUCCUUUUGGAGACUUAGAUAGGAGACUACAAGGAACUGAAACUUAGUGCCCAGCGUCCCUCGGAAAAGUGACCGCCCUCACCCUGGGGCUGUUACCAAUCAUUUUCUGUUAAUCGUCACCUGAAAUAACCAGUCAUAGGAACAGUGUAGAAUGUCAUUUGGGGCAUGUCUAGCACACUCAUGUCCCAUAAUGAAAUACAAAUGAUUUCACUGCAAUACUGGCAGGAUUCUCAGAAUAAAUCAUUUCCAUUCUCACCAUUUCAAGUCACAUAAUGUAACUGCCCUGAGCAGAUUGGGGGAGUUAACUAUUUUGGUCACCCAAGGUCUAGGCCAAUUCCCCUAGUUACCUAUGAGGAUAAAUUGCAGUUCUGACCUAAUUUAUGGCUCUUCCCUAAGACUGAGGGGCAACUACUUGCCAUGUGCCAGAAGAGUCUAGAAAGUAAAGGUGACAAGCAUACUUUUGAAGUCUUUCCAAGAAUCUCUACCUCCUUCCUGUGGACUUGACUCUGAAGUAGCCUCUUGCAAACCCAGGUGCUCAUGUGCCUUACUAAUGCUGGUUUAACCAAGCUUUUCCACCAAACUGAAUACUGAUCAAAGCUACUAUGGUUCUAGUAUUUGUACGCUUCCCAAAUUCAUGUUGAAAGUCAAUCCUAAUAGUACUAAGAGGUGGAGUCUCGGGGAUUAGCUAUGAAGGCUUCAACUUUGAGAG